CUUUGAACGCAAGUUGCGCCCAAGGCCAUCAGGCUUAGGGCACGUCUGCCUGGGUGUCA
RNAcentral lists this ribosomal RNA (59 nucleotides) under Cuscuta europaea. RNAcentral's name for it is "partial 5.8S ribosomal RNA". The record is from RNAcentral. Lineage: Eukaryota; Viridiplantae; Streptophyta; Magnoliopsida; Solanales; Convolvulaceae.